UACCUAGAGGGCAGAGAGAGGUAA
Molecule: non-coding RNA, 24 nt
Filed under: Rattus norvegicus (Norway rat)
Lineage: Eukaryota; Metazoa; Chordata; Mammalia; Rodentia; Muridae
Source: RNAcentral